UGAUAUUAAUUGAAGGGCCGCGGUAUCUUGACCGUGCGAAGGUAGCAUAAUCAUUAGUCUUUUAAUUGAAGGCUUGUAUGAAUGGUCGGACAAAAAGUAAGCUGUCUCAUCCACAGAGUUUGAAUUUAACUUUUAAGUGAAAAGGCUUAAAUGUUCUAGGGGGACGAUAAGACCCUAUAAAGCUUUACAAUAACCAAGAUGCACUAAGAUUUGUUAGUAUAAUUUGGUCUAUUUGGGGUUUGUUUCGUUGGGGCGACGAGAAUAUAAAUUAAAUAACUGUUCUUUUUAGAUAUACAAUAUUAAUUGGUUAAAAAUUGAUCCUUUAUUAAAGAUUACAAGAUUAAGUUACUUUAGGGAUAACAGCGUAAUCUUCUUUGAGAGUCCAGAUCGACAAGAAGGGUUGCGACCUCGAUGUUGAAUU
RNAcentral lists this ribosomal RNA (421 nucleotides) under Aristeus virilis. Its description in RNAcentral is "partial 16S ribosomal RNA". It matches the Rfam family "Bacterial large subunit ribosomal RNA", at positions 1914 to 2538 of the family's 2925-position model. Lineage: Eukaryota; Metazoa; Arthropoda; Malacostraca; Decapoda; Aristeidae. The record is from RNAcentral.